RNAcentral lists this transfer RNA (50 nucleotides) under Proasellus arthrodilus. Its description in RNAcentral is "transfert RNA-C(TGC)". The record is from RNAcentral. Lineage: Eukaryota; Metazoa; Arthropoda; Malacostraca; Isopoda; Asellidae.
GGUUUAUUUAAAGUAGAUUGCAAAUUUAUUUAAGCUUAAAGCAUAAGCCU